Molecule: long non-coding RNA, 3736 nt
Organism: Equus caballus (horse)
Lineage: Eukaryota; Metazoa; Chordata; Mammalia; Perissodactyla; Equidae
Source: Ensembl
GUACAAGGAUAUUGACUGCAGCAUUAUUUGUAAUUGCCAAAAACUGCAAUAAUCUAAAGGUCCAUCAACAGCAGAAUGGAUAAAUAAAUUGAGGUAUAUUUACACGAUAGAAUACCACUCAGCAAUAAAAUUAAAUUAACAUAUACACAUACAACAACAUCCAUUGAAUAGAAGAAUCAAGAACCAAUCUAGCACAAACAGUAUGAUUCAAAAAGAGGCAGAACUAUAUCAUUUAGAAAGGCAUACUUGGGUGAAACUUUAAAGAAAAGCAAGGCAGUGAUUACCAUAAAAUCAGGAUUAUAGUAAUCUCUAGGUCUGGGGGAGACUUCCUCUACGGAGAAUUGUGAUUAAAAACCAGUUUAUGAAAUUCUUGCAACACUCUGUUUCUUCACUUGAGUGGAGGUUGUAUGGAUGUUUCUUUAAAAUAAUUUUUAAAACUGUACUAUGUACUUUUCUAUAUGAACAUUAUAUUUCACAAUUUUCAUUACAGAUAUAUCAAGAAACAUUAUGCUCCUGGUCUAUUCUCUUUUUCAUUCCUUCAUCCUGCUGCCUAAAAUAUAGAUACUGCCACCUGAGACCAUGAGAACAAGGAUCACAAUAUAGGAAUAUCAGAGCAAUGAGCUGGAAGGUAAGUCGCUGAGGACUUUGGGGCACAGCUGCCAUAUCAAUCUCUGAACCUUUUACCUCUGUACUUCAUUUACAUUAAAGAGAAAUAAAUUUUAUACUAUUUUGGAAUUUUCUAUAUUUAUACAGCCAAACCUGAUAUUAACUAAUAUACCUAUAUAUCAGAUCUUCAAAAAGACAACCUACUUAAUAGAAAAAUUGCCUGAUCUCACACCCACACCCACCCACACACACACCCAAUUAUGCAAUUCAUGGGAAAAGAAAUCCAAAGGGUUCAUAAACAUCCAAAAAGUGUUUAAUCUCAGCAGUAAUUAGAGAAAUGCAAAUUAAAACAACAGUGAGAUAGUAUUUUUCAUGCAUCACAUUGGCAGACAUUUUAAAGAGCAAUAUAUUCAUUUCUGUUGAGUAUUGAGGAAAAUGGUCCCUCUUUGGCAUUAGUAACACAAAUUGCUAUAAAUUUUUGGAAGGUAAAUUGGCAAUAUCUGUCAAAUUUGAAAUGCUCUCACCCAUUUGAGCCAGAAAAGUAACACAAAUCUAUACCACAGAAGUAGCAGCAAUAAUAUUCAAGACUACAUGUCCAAGAAUUCUUAUUGUGGCAUUAUUUGUCAAUGUAAAAACCCAGAAACAAUCUGUUAAAUCCAACAGUAGUAGAAUGUUUGGAAUAAAUUAUGGCAUAUCCUUACUAUGAAAUAUUAUGCAGGUGUUAAAAAAAUGAGUUAUAUCUACAUAUCGUGAUUUGGAAGGUUGUUCAUAAUGUAUUGUUUGGUGAGGAAAAUAAGUUACCUAUUUUUAUAUAAUUGGCCAACCUAUUUUGUGUAUGCAUGUCUAUAUAAACUUCUAUGAACAUGCAGGAAGGUGCGGAAAGUUACACCCCAGAUUAUUAACAUUGGUUACUUGGGAGGCGAGGCGGUAAUGGAAAUUACUUUCUCUGUAUUCAUUUUUGAAUUUUUUUUACUGGUUGCAAUGAUUAUAACUAUGUGUUGCUGUUGCUUUUGUAAUUUUUACAAAACUACUUAAUUUAAAAUUGGUUGUAAUAAAAGGUAUAUAUCCAAGGAUGCAGAAUAAUGUACCCCAAUGCCCAAUGAACAUCUUUACAAUUUAUUAUCACCAAACAUUAAAUCUACAUUGCUGAAGCAAACUGCACAAACCUGUACAAAGCAGAACGAAGUAGGUCACUUAAGAAAAUAAUGUGGCUUAUCCACUGAUGUUUCUUAAUUAGUAUUUUGUUAAUAAUUAACUUGAAAGACACCCAUGUGUUAGUACAAUAAAUAAAUGCAUGUUGCGUCUUGCAAUCUUCUGGGAAGGAAUUUAAUACCAAGCUAUGUCAUGGAAAGGAAGACAGGAGUUAAGAAAUACAGAGAAAGGGACAAUUCUUCUUCCCUAUCGGGUGGCUCCAGUGAUUGCUAAAUGAGCGUGUUUGCGAGGAGGUGGCUAUCAAUCAAGGUAUACAGUCUGCAUGUCUCAAUUCUAACUUAGCUUCCUGCCCUUCCUCAAAUGUUCUUCUGCCAUCAAGGCAUGGCCAACGCCCAGCCAGACACCUGAGUCAUGUUUGCCUCCUCCCUCUUGCUUUCCUCUGUCCCUGAAUCUGUUUGGUUGCUAAAUCCUCUCAAUUUCCCCUCUGGAAGGCCUCUGCCUUUGCCCUCCCUCUGGGCUGGAUUAGCUAAUAACAUCGAAGCUGCCACUACCCAAGAAGCUCAGACUCCUUUUCCUGGUCUUCCCACCUUUCACAUAGGCUCCUUCUGGCUUCUGGUCACCUUCUCCACUGUCACCCUCCGCGCCGCACGGCGAAGAUCCUGCUCACCCGCCAGGACCUCAGCCCGGAGCGGGUCCCGCCGUCUGCCCCUCGGAAGCCUGGGCGCUCCAGGAUGUGGGCCCCAACGCAGACGGAAGUGCCGGCAGCUCGAGGGGCGGGGCAGGGGGCGGGGCCUGGCCCGGCUGGCCAAUGGAAGCGCUGAGCCCAGAGUCAGAGGUCACAUGUGCAGUGGGCGGGAAUUUUCUCCUGAGAAGACCGGUAGGAGGCGGUUUUCCCUCUGCCUGUACCCUGAGAGGCUGGAGAGACGAGGGAGGGAAGGUGUUUUUAGACUGAGGGGAAGAAAGGAUCGACGUGGGGCUAGAGUAUGGCAGCUCCGAAAUCUCUGGAAAACAGAUUUGUGAGGCGUGGCUGAUGUGACCCUGUGGGGACAAGGCCCCAGAACGGGUGUCCACCUAACCUAAUUAGGCGAGAACAGAGGGUGUGAAGGACACGGGUAGGCCGACGGGACUUCAGUCCACUAACCAGAAGUUGUAUAGCUUAAGCAACAUGAGAAAAGAUAUGAACCUCACCUGUGCCAUUUUACAUGGUUAAAGCGUGAGCUUUAUGCCAGGGAGCGAGGAAGGGAAGAAAUCUGAUCCCUCCUCCGGUGGGAGGAGAUGGGAAGCCAGCCCGGAAGACCACGCUCACCUGCGUGUGGUCUCAAACAAUCUUGGGAAUAAUAUGCCAUUGUAUAUAUGUCCACCUUAAAUAGACACAAGUUUUAUUUGGGCAGAAAAAAUCUUGGGAAACUUUCCUCCUCCAGCCUUGUGGAUGAGAACCUGACCUAAUGAGUUGUCUGUAUUUCCAUUUUGCCCCAGAAGAUAGCGGUCAAGAGGUAGCACAGGAGAAAUAAAAUCAUUACAAACAGGUGUUGAAAUUUGUACUGCUUGCAAAGAAAGAAGCUAUGUUUUCAACAUUCAAAUAUUGUGCAAUAGAUUAUUUAUAUGAGAAUGUAAUUAGGAAGAAGUUUUCUAGAGAUGCUUUCUUGCUUCGAAUCCCUUCAUGUUUAUAUCAAGAUGGAGAUUAUCUUACAGGAGUUAUUGAUAGUGCAUUUAGGAGGCCAUGGACAAGAGCAUCAUGGACACCCAUGGAUCCUGGGCUAUCCCAGACAUCCAGGAGAUGCCUACCAUCUAACCUCCUUGGAGUCCAUUGGCAUCUCUUCAGUUUUCUCUGGGACCAAAACUGUGUCCUGGCCUUAUCUAAUGUCAAAUCCUGCGCUCCUGCAAUUUCUGCCUCCUCGCUUGUUCCCAUCUCAACAAGAGAGCAAAAUGAAGAACAAUUCUUCAGUUAUUGAACAAUCUUGUAUCUUUCACAAUUCGC